Molecule: transfer RNA, 71 nt
Filed under: Camelus bactrianus (Bactrian camel)
Lineage: Eukaryota; Metazoa; Chordata; Mammalia; Artiodactyla; Camelidae
Also listed under: 2 other names
Rfam family: tRNA
About the family: Transfer RNA (tRNA) molecules are approximately 80 nucleotides in length. Their secondary structure includes four short double-helical elements and three loops (D, anti-codon, and T loops).
Source: Rfam by way of RNAcentral
AAGGGUGUAGCUCAGUGGUAGAGUGCGUGCUUAGCGUGCAUGAAGUCCUGGGUUCAAUCUUCGCACCUCUG